RNAcentral lists this transfer RNA (73 nucleotides) under Equus sp. RNAcentral describes it as "tRNA-Thr". The record is from RNAcentral. Lineage: Eukaryota; Metazoa; Chordata; Mammalia; Perissodactyla; Equidae.
GUCCCUGUAGUAUAUCGCACAUUACCCUGGUCUUGUAAACCAGAAAAGGGGGAAAAUAUUCCUCCCAAGGACU